RNAcentral lists this ribosomal RNA (255 nucleotides) under Enterococcus faecium. RNAcentral describes it as "partial 23S ribosomal RNA". It matches the Rfam family "Bacterial large subunit ribosomal RNA", at positions 252 to 508 of the family's 2925-position model. Lineage: Bacteria; Bacillati; Bacillota; Bacilli; Lactobacillales; Enterococcaceae. The record is from RNAcentral.
AGCGAAACGGGAAAAGCCCAAACCAACAAGCUUGCUUGUUGGGGUUGUAGGACUCCAAUAUGGUCGUUCUUUCAGAUAGUCGAAUGACUUGGAAAAGUCAGUCAAAGAGGGUAAAAACCCCGUAGACAAAAUGUGGAAGACACCUAGGAGGAUCCUGAGUACGGCGGAACACGAGAAAUUCCGUCGGAAUCCGGGAGGACCAUCUCCCAAGGCUAAAUACUCCCUAGUGACCGAUAGUGAACCAGUACCGUGAGG